CCUACGGGUGGCAGCAGUGGGGAAUAUUGGACAAUGGGCGCAAGCCUGAUCCAGCAACGCCGCGUGAGUGAAGAAGUAUUUCGGUAUGUAAAGCUCUAUCAGCAGGGAAGAAAAUGACGGUACCUGACUAAGAAGCCCCGGCUAACUACGUGCCAGCAGCCGCGGUAAUACGUAGGGGGCAAGCGUUAUCCGGAUUUACUGGGUGUAAAGGGAGCGUAGACGGCAGCACAAGUCUGGAGUGAAAUGCCAGGGCUUAACCCCGGAACUGCUUUGGAAACUGUGCAGCUAGAGUGCAGGAGAGGUAAGUGGAAUUCCUAGUGUAGCGGUGAAAUGCGUAGAUAUUAGGAGGAACACCAGUGGCGAAGGCGGCUUACUGGACUGUAACUGACGUUGAGGCUCGAAAGCGUGGGGAGCAAACAGGAUUAGAUACCCGGGUAGUC
This 440-nucleotide ribosomal RNA is filed under the name uncultured bacterium. RNAcentral's name for it is "partial 16S ribosomal RNA". It matches the Rfam family "Bacterial small subunit ribosomal RNA", at positions 338 to 795 of the family's 1533-position model. The record is from RNAcentral.